GCCUGAGUGGCUUUGUCGGUUAAGCGUUUGACUUCAGCUCAGGUCAUGAUCUCACGGUUCAUGAGUUCAAGUCCUACUUCAGGCU
Molecule: transfer RNA, 85 nt
Filed under: Felis catus (domestic cat)
Lineage: Eukaryota; Metazoa; Chordata; Mammalia; Carnivora; Felidae
Also listed under: 1 other name
Rfam family: tRNA
About the family: Transfer RNA (tRNA) molecules are approximately 80 nucleotides in length. Their secondary structure includes four short double-helical elements and three loops (D, anti-codon, and T loops).
Source: Rfam by way of RNAcentral